Molecule: non-coding RNA, 22 nt
Filed under: Arabidopsis thaliana (thale cress)
Lineage: Eukaryota; Viridiplantae; Streptophyta; Magnoliopsida; Brassicales; Brassicaceae
Source: RNAcentral
UGUUGUGGUUUCGGGCCUGGGA